Molecule: unclassified non-coding RNA, 276 nt
Filed under: Auriculariales sp.
Lineage: Eukaryota; Fungi; Basidiomycota; Agaricomycetes; Auriculariales
Description: partial contains 5.8S ribosomal RNA, internal transcribed spacer 2, and large subunit ribosomal RNA
Source: RNAcentral
CGCACCUUGCGCCACGUGGUAUUCCACGGGGCACGCCUGUUUGAGUGUCACGUAAACCCAUCGCGUCGCGGAUUGUCAUGAUCUGCGGGGCGGAUUUGGACGCUGCCGUCGUUGGCUCGUCUCGAAAUGCAUUAGCUGUCUUACGACACGCGCCGUUGGUGUGAUAAUUUACUUUGCGCCGCUGGUGAGUGACUGUAGAAGGCUUACAACCGUCCGCAAGGACAAUUUUAUUAACGCUUUGGCCUCAAAUCAGGUGGGACUACCCGCUGAACUUAA